This 251-nucleotide ribosomal RNA is filed under the name uncultured bacterium. RNAcentral's name for it is "partial 16S ribosomal RNA". It matches the Rfam family "Bacterial small subunit ribosomal RNA", at positions 524 to 776 of the family's 1533-position model. The record is from RNAcentral.
UACGUAGGGCGCAAGCGUUAUCCGGAAUUAUUGGGCGUAAAGAGCUCGUAGGUGGUUUGUCGCGUUGUUCGUGAAACUCACAGCUCAACUGUGGGCGUGCGGGCGAUACGGGCAGACUAGAGUACUGCAGGGGAGACUGGAAUUCCUGGUGUAGCGGUGGAAUGCGCAGAUAUCAGGAGGAACACCGGUGGCGAAGGCGGGUCCCUGGGCAGUAACUGACGCUGAGGAGCGAAAGCGUGGGAGCGAACAGG